AUUGAACGCUGGCGGCAUGCCUAACACAUGCAAGUCGAACGCGAAAGUCCUUCGGGGCGAGUAGAGUGGCGGACGGGUGAGUAAUGCGUGGGAAUCUACCUCGUAGUGGGGGAUAACCCGGGGAAACUCGGGCUAAUACCGCAUACGUUCUAUGGAAGAAAGGGGGCCUCUGCUUGCAAGCUCUCGCUAUGGGAUGAGCCCACGUCCGAUUAGCUAGUUGGUGGGGUAAAGGCCUACCAAGGCGACGAUCGGUAGCUGGUCUGAGAGGAUGACCAGCCACACUGGGACUGAGACACGGCCCAGACUCCUACGGGAGGCUG
This 320-nucleotide ribosomal RNA is filed under the name uncultured Pseudomonadota bacterium. RNAcentral describes it as "bacterial SSU rRNA". It matches the Rfam family "Bacterial small subunit ribosomal RNA", at positions 30 to 351 of the family's 1533-position model. The record is from RNAcentral. Lineage: Bacteria; Pseudomonadati; Pseudomonadota.